AGUGAGAUUGAACACCCCCCACAACACAUUAAAAUGUACAAAUCCAUAUUUUUAAGGGAUUGCUAUAGACCAGGCAGUGUAAAAUCAUUGACUUUCAGGUCCUGUCGUUCAGACCUCGAAACAGUGGGCAGCAGCCUUCACGUGGACGAGGCAGGGAGGAGGAGUGAAGAAAUACCGGAGAUCCCAGUUUUUCUCAAUGGUGACAGCACAGAACUGCAGGCGGGAUCAUCACACCAACAAGGGCGAAGUCAGGUCCCAGUAUUUUCGCUGCUAUAAGAAUCCUUCCUGUUGCCGUUCUGUAGCCACCGCCCCUUAAUUUAUGGCUCCCGGUAAUCGAGCCUUCGAGG
Fukomys damarensis (Damara mole-rat) is the source of this 347-nucleotide long non-coding RNA. RefSeq lists it as uncharacterized. The record is from RefSeq and is a predicted model, not a curated record. The transcript is spliced from 3 exons. Lineage: Eukaryota; Metazoa; Chordata; Mammalia; Rodentia; Bathyergidae.